Molecule: unclassified non-coding RNA, 329 nt
Filed under: soil metagenome
Description: partial contains 5.8S ribosomal RNA, internal transcribed spacer 2, and large subunit ribosomal RNA
Rfam family: 5.8S ribosomal RNA (bases 1-120)
Source: RNAcentral
GAUGAAGAACGUAGUGAAAUGCGAUAAGUAGUGUGAAUUGCAGAAUUCAGUGAAUCAUCGAAUCUUUGAACGCACAUUGCGCCCCUUGGUAUCCCGAGGGGCAUGCCUGUUCGAGCGUCAUUUCACCACUCAAGCCUGGCUUGGUGUUGGGCGACGUCCCCUUUGGGGACGCGCCUCGAAACGCUCGGCGGCGUGGCACCGGCUUUAAGCGUAGCAGAAUCUUUCGCUUUGGAAGUCGGGGCCCCGUCUGCCGGAAGACCUACUCGCAAGGUUGACCUCGGAUCAGGCAGGGAUACCCGAUGAACUUAAGCAUAUCAAUAAGCGGAGGA